This 514-nucleotide ribosomal RNA is filed under the name Nematoda environmental sample. RNAcentral describes it as "SSU rRNA". It matches the Rfam family "Eukaryotic small subunit ribosomal RNA", at positions 58 to 570 of the family's 1831-position model. The record is from RNAcentral. Lineage: Eukaryota; Metazoa; Nematoda. RNAcentral also lists the same sequence under 1 other name.
UCUAAGCACAAGCCUAAGAAUGGUAAAGCCGCGAAUGGCUCAUUACAACAGCCAUAGUUUACUGGAUCUUACUUUCCUACUUGGAUAACUGUGGUAAUUCUAGAGCUAAUACACGCAUGAAAGCUCUGACCGUUCGGGAGGAGCGCAUUUAUUAGAACAAAACCAAUCGGGCCUUCGGGCCCGCCAAUUGGUGAAUCUGAAUAACUUUGCAGAUCGCACGGUCUCGUACCGGCGACGUAUCUUUCAAAUGUCUGCCUUAUCAACUUUAGAUGGUAGUUUACACGCCUACCAUGGUUGUAACGGGUAACGGAGAAUAAGGGUUCGACUCCGGAGAGGGAGCCUGAGAAAUGGCUACCACAUCCAAGGAAGGCAGCAGGCACGCAAAUUACCCACUCCCGGCACGGGGAGGUAGUGACGAAAAAUAACGAGGCGGUUCUCUACGAGGCCCGCCAUCGGAAUGGGUACAAUUUAAAUCCUUUAACGAGGAUCUAUUGGAGGGCAAGUCUGGUGCCAG